Molecule: long non-coding RNA, 2630 nt
Filed under: Androctonus crassicauda
Lineage: Eukaryota; Metazoa; Arthropoda; Arachnida; Scorpiones; Buthidae
Source: RNAcentral
AUUUAGGAAAAUAUUAAAGCAAAAAUCGAACGAAUCAAAAAUGAAAAAAAAAAAAAAAACUUGGACUUGCGUCAAAAUCGACUUAAUCGGAAAUGUUGGAACGGAACCCCGUCGUAAGUCGAGGAUUAUCUGUGAUCAUUUACAAUUUGAUAUAAGACAAAAUUUUACUAAGAAUUAUUCUUACUCGACCAUCCUCUAAUAACAAAAAAGAUUAAUACGACUAAGUUAACUGUACUGUUUAGUUUAGUUUAGUUUUUUAAUAAUCUUUUUAGAAUUUGAACAUGUUAAUUUAGAUUUUGUAUGUGAAUUGAUUUUGAUUUUGCUAUAUAACUAAUUAGGAAAUAUUCUGUCGUAUGUAUUAUACUUGUUAUCGAAUUUAGUUCAGUGUUAAUAAUUAUUUAAAUAUAUUCUUCAAAUGAUAGAUUUGUUACUACAAAAUCUUUAUCCAUUACCAUUUAAAUUAUACAAACGAUAAAAAUCAUUUAUUGAACUGAAAAAGGAGCUCAUGCUUGAGAGAAAAUGUUUCAAUUUUUAAAUUAUUUUAGAGAAAAUUAAAAAUUCUUUAAAAAUAUCGAAGUUCACACAUACAAUGAAGUUUACAAAAGUGAGACAUUAAACUAUGUAAGUCUAUAUUUUAAAACUUGUAAUUGUAAGACGGUGAAGACGCAAACGAAGAUAUUAAAAAAUGCAAUAGUUAAUAAUAUAGUGCAAACAAAUGCAAAAAAAAAAAAAAAAAAAACUUAAAAUUUUAGAUAUGGGUGCUAACUUUACGCCAGAAAUUAUGAAAAGCAAUAACUGUGUUGAUAUUUUAACAGGAGACUAAAACGGAGGAAAAAUUGGAUAUGUGGUAACUUCUGAAAAAUUCUUUCGGUUUCUAAAAAUAAAGAAUCCUGAUCUGUAUCUGAAAUUUUAAACUGCGUAACUUUGGAGAAAGUUCUUAUAUUAUUUUAAUAUUAUUGGAAAGAAAAUUGUCUAUUGAAAAGUCGUGGCCACAAAAUUCAGUAAAAUGUUUGAUGCCGAUGUAAAAAGCAAACACUGCUUGGAAUUGUUUCUUUCUUAUAUUUAUCUGCUUUUCAUGAUAUUGAAUACAAAGCAGCGGACUACCAUGAACUAAAAGAAAAUUAUCCUUAAACUGGUGUGCUAGAAAUAUGAAAUAUUUACAUGAAUUUAAUUUAUUAGAACUACAAUAUAAAGCAGAUAAAAUUUGAAGCGAAUGAUUAGGUAAUUUAUUAUAUUUACUUUAGUUAUGUAUAAUUUUUGCAAUUUUAUGGAUUUUAUUUGGUACUACCAUCUAAAUUUCAACAUUUGCUAAUCCAGUCAACGACUAUCUUAUAUUGGAUAGUAUUACAUUACAUUAAUAAAAGAUAGUUAUUACUUCAGUUUCAAUGAUAACUCAUGUUUCGUUGGGAUGGUAACAAUUAACUUUACAGGCGAUUUAGUUGUCGAGCGGAGACAGUUAAGUCAGGAUUUCUGACAUCAGGUUGAUAACUUACCGCAUUCACACCAAAUGAGCUUUUUAAAAUUAAUGACCAAAAAUUUUAGUGAAGACGGGUGGAAAUACCUGGCAAUCGGAUGCUGAUUGAACCAUGUUGAAUAUACGCGGGAAUAAAGAAAACUAUGUUAAUAUAUUAAAAUAAGCAGAUUGGCAUAUACAGCAUUCAAAUUGACUUAUUUUUACUCAGAAGGAAGAAAUUUUUGCAUAUUAAAUAAUUGUUUAUUUACAUAUGACAGAUGUGCCCCCAGUUUAACGCAAUAAGUGAAGUUUUCAAUGAAGCAUUUUUUUAUUUGAAAUUUUCCAGGCUUUCAGUUUUACAAAAAUAGUAAUUAACACUCAAAACUAAAAUAAUUGGCUUAUCAAAUUUUCAGACUGAUUAAACUAUUUUUCAUGUGAAGAUUCAUAUAUGUGUUUUUCAUUUGCAUUAUUAUGCCUGCUUUCAACCAUAUCUCUGCGCACUUUUCAGCAUCAAAAUUUUGCAAUGUUAGCCCAUUAAUGCAUAUGAACAUCAUUGUUUCCAAAAUGUCAAUCUUUAAUUUAUAUCAUAAUUCCGAAAUUUGCAAAUUCGUUGUAGAAAAAUCUCUUUCACACUCAUUAGAUGAUAUCGCAAUUAUAUUAAUUUCGAAUCAAGCAUAUUCAUAUUCAAGUUUUAUUGUAUUCAGUUCUAGAAACGAGAAACUUACUUGUUUUUUUGGGAGGAAUGAGUAAGAUCAUUUAGAGAGAGGGGUAAAAAUUUAAGAAGCAGGAAAAUUCCUUCUAAUUCCACCAUAAUUUAAACGCUGGACCUAUAUAAUAUAAAUUAUUCGAUUAAUAUACACAUCUCUAUUUUCAUUCUUUUAGUAUGUAACACUAACAUUAGCAUCUGAAACUGAAUCGAAAAAUCAACGAAACAACUAAACAAACUUCUGUCCUUAAAUGGAGAUUGUGCCCUCUAAUUCAAACAAUACUUUUGAGAGAAUGUAGUGAGUAGGCCUACUUAAUCUUUCGUUAUCUUUUUCUCACACUAUAUUUUUAAAGAUUUAACAAGAUACUUGUAAUAAUAAAUAGGAGAAAAUACAUCGAAACAGAACAAUGGACACGCAUAAGUUGCUCAGGCUGUUUUCGUUUUUUCGGAAACUAUACAGGGUGUUUCCAA